This 290-nucleotide unclassified non-coding RNA is filed under the name air metagenome. RNAcentral describes it as "partial contains small subunit ribosomal RNA, internal transcribed spacer 1, and 5.8S ribosomal RNA". The stretch from base 1 to 46 matches the Rfam family "Eukaryotic small subunit ribosomal RNA", at positions 1786 to 1831 of the family's 1831-position model. The record is from RNAcentral.
AAGUCGUAACAAGGUUUCCGUAGGUGAACCUGCGGAAGGAUCAUUCAAUGAAUUUGCAAGUGGGCUUGAUGCUGGUGAAGCAAUUCACAUGUGCUCAGCUCCGUUCAAAUCCACCUUACACCUGUGCACUUUCAAAGCUCUGUAGUCCUCCGUAAUGGGAGCCGCGCUUUUGCGCUGGGGCUACACCUUUGCCCUUAUUAUAAACUCUUAUAACUGUCUUGUAGAAUGUCUAUUGAGUCUUAUGGACUUGAAACUUUAUACAACUUUCAACAACGGAUCUCUUGGCUCUC